GAGGCAGCAAGAAAAAUGAGGGACUUUCAGGGGCAGCUGUGUUUUACUAACCCAGUCAUAAUGCCCCUAAAAAUCCUUAUUGUUCUUGCAAUGUUCAA
MicroRNA precursor from Chelydra serpentina (North American snapping turtle), 98 nucleotides. The record is from Ensembl. Lineage: Eukaryota; Metazoa; Chordata; Testudines; Chelydridae.